RNAcentral lists this ribosomal RNA (318 nucleotides) under uncultured eukaryote. Its description in RNAcentral is "partial 18S ribosomal RNA". It matches the Rfam family "Eukaryotic small subunit ribosomal RNA", at positions 1470 to 1795 of the family's 1831-position model. The record is from RNAcentral.
CCCUUAGAUGUUCUGGGCAGCACGCGUGCUACAUUGAUACAUAUAAUAUGUUUUUGCCAUUUGAAAAAAUGGUGUAAUCAUCAAUGUGUAUCAAUCCAGGGAUUGUUUGUUGGAAUGUCAAACAUCAACGAGGAAUUCCUAGUAAGCGUGUAUCAUUAGUUCACGUUGAUUAUGUCCCUGCCCUUUGUACACACCGCCUGUCGCAUCUAGUGAUUAGGUUAUAUCAUGAGUUAAACAGAGGUGAAUUUGAUGUCUUUGACAGCCUAGUUUAUCGAAGUUUUGCAAAUGGUCUAACCCAAAAGUAGAUAAANUCAUAAC